CUCAGUUCGGAUCGAAGUCUGCAACCCGACUUCGUGAAGCUGGAUUCGCUAGUAAUCACGCAUCAGCCAUGGCGCGGUGAAUACGUUCCCGGGCCUUGUACACACCCGCCCGUCAAGCCAUGAAAGCCGGGGGUACCUGAAGUACGUAACCGCAAGGAGCGUCCUAGGGUAAAACUGGUAAUUGGGGCUAAGUCGUAACAAGGUACC
RNAcentral lists this ribosomal RNA (207 nucleotides) under uncultured bacterium. RNAcentral describes it as "partial 16S ribosomal RNA". It matches the Rfam family "Bacterial small subunit ribosomal RNA", at positions 1287 to 1500 of the family's 1533-position model. The record is from RNAcentral.